This 440-nucleotide ribosomal RNA is filed under the name uncultured bacterium. RNAcentral describes it as "partial 16S ribosomal RNA". It matches the Rfam family "Bacterial small subunit ribosomal RNA", at positions 338 to 795 of the family's 1533-position model. The record is from RNAcentral.
CCUACGGGAGGCUGCAGUGAGGGAUAUUGGUCAAUGGGGGAAACCCUGAACCAGCAACGCCGCGUGAGGGAAGACGGUUUUCGGAUCGUAAACCUCUGUCCUCUGUGAAGAUAAUGACGGUAGCAGAGGAGGAAGCUCUGGCUAACUACGUCCCAGCAGCCGCGGUAAUACGGAGGGAGCAAGCGUUGUCCGGAUUUACUGGGUGUAAAGGGUGCGUAGGCGGCUUUGCAAGUCAGACGUGAAAUCCAUGGGCUUAACCCAGGAACUGCUUUUGAAACUGCAGAGCUUGAGUGGGUGAGAGGAAGGCGGAAUUCCCGGUGUAGCGGUGAAAUGCGUAGAGAUCGGGAGGAACACCAGUGGCGAAGGCGACCUGCUGGGCUCUAACUGACGCUGAGGCGCGAAAGCGUGGGUAGCAAACAGGAGUAGAUACCCUAGUAGUC